UACGUAGGGGGCAGGCGUUGUCCGGAUUUAUUGGGCGUAAAGAGCGUGUAGGCGGCCAGGCAGGUCCGCUGUGAAAACUCGAGGCUCAACCUCGAGAGGUCGGUGGAAACCGUUUGGCUAGAGUCCGGAAGAGGAGAGUGGAAUUCCCGGUAUAGCGGUGAAAUGCGCAGAUAUCGGGAAGAACACCCGUGGCGAAGGCGGCUCUCUGGGACGGUACUGACGCUGAGACGCGAAAGCGUGGGGAGCGAACAGG
RNAcentral lists this ribosomal RNA (253 nucleotides) under uncultured bacterium. RNAcentral describes it as "partial 16S ribosomal RNA". It matches the Rfam family "Bacterial small subunit ribosomal RNA", at positions 524 to 776 of the family's 1533-position model. The record is from RNAcentral.